ACUCAAAGGAAUUGACGGGGGCCCGCACAAGCAGUGGAGUAUGUGGUUUAAUUCGAAGCAACGCGAAGAACCUUACCAGGGCUUGACAUCCCUCGAAUAGAUUAGAAAUAAUCUAGUCCUUCGGGACGAGGAGACAGGUGGUGCAUGGUUGUCGUCAGCUCGUGUCGUGAGAUGUUGGGUUAAGUCCCGCAACGAGCGCAACCCCUGUUGUUAGUUGCCAUCAUUAAGUUGGGCACUCUAACGAGACUGCCGGUGACAAAUCGGAGGAAGGUGGGGACGACGUCAAAUCAUCAUGCCCCUUAUGUCCUGGGCUACACACGUACUACAAUGGCCACUACAGAGGGGAGCUAAGCUGUAAAGUGGAGCAAAUCCCUAAAAGUGGUCCCAGUUCGGAUUGUGGGCUGCAACUCGCCCAUAUGAAGCCGGAAUUGCUAGUAAUGGCAGGUCAUCAUACUGCCGUGAAUACGUUCCCGGGCCUUGUACACACCGCCCGU
RNAcentral lists this ribosomal RNA (494 nucleotides) under uncultured bacterium. RNAcentral's name for it is "bacterial SSU rRNA". It matches the Rfam family "Bacterial small subunit ribosomal RNA", at positions 899 to 1397 of the family's 1533-position model. The record is from RNAcentral.